GAUGAACGCUGGCGGCGUGCCUAAUACAUGCAAGUCGAGCGAACAGACGAGGAGCUUGCUCCUCUGACGUUAGCGGCGGACGGGUGAGUAACACGUGGAUAACCUACCUAUAAGACUGGGAUAACUUCGGGAAACCGGAGCUAAUACCGGAUAAUAUAUUGAACCGCAUGGUUCAAUAGUGAAAGACGGUUUUGCUGUCACUUAUAGAUGGAUCCGCGCCGCAUUAGCUAGUUGGUAAGGUAACGGCUUACCAAGGCAACGAUGCGUAGCGGACCUGAGAGGAGGAUCAGGCACACUGGAACUGAGACACGGUCCAGACUACUACGGGAGGAAGCAGUGGGGAAUAUUGGACAAUGGGCGAAAGUCUGAUACAGCCAUGCAGCGUGUGUGAAGAAGGUCUUAGGAUUGUAAAGCACUUUAAGUUGGGAGGAAGGGCAGUAAGUUAAUAACUUGCUGGUUUGACGUUACCAACAGAAUAAGCACCGGCUAACUUCGUG
RNAcentral lists this ribosomal RNA (497 nucleotides) under uncultured bacterium. RNAcentral describes it as "partial 16S ribosomal RNA". It matches the Rfam family "Bacterial small subunit ribosomal RNA", at positions 28 to 507 of the family's 1533-position model. The record is from RNAcentral.